UACCAGCACCCCGAGUGGUCGGGACGUUUAUUGGGCCUAAAGCAUCCGUAGCCGGUUCUACAAGUCUUCCGUUAAAUCCACCUGCUUAACAGAUGGGCUGCGGAAGAUACUAUGGAGCUAGGAGGCGGGAGAGGCAAGCGGUACUCGAUGGGUAGGGGUAAAAUCCGUUGAUCCAUUGAAGAACACCAGUGGCGAAGGCGGCUCACUGGACCGGUAUUGACGCUGAGGUGCGAAAGCGUGGGGAGCAAACAGG
Molecule: ribosomal RNA, 253 nt
Filed under: uncultured bacterium
Lineage: Bacteria
Description: partial 16S ribosomal RNA
Rfam family: Bacterial small subunit ribosomal RNA (bases 27-253)
Source: RNAcentral